Alosa sapidissima (American shad) is the source of this 134-nucleotide long non-coding RNA. RefSeq lists it as uncharacterized. NCBI's taxonomy places the organism in Eukaryota, Metazoa, Chordata, Actinopteri, Clupeiformes, Clupeidae. The transcript is spliced from 3 exons. The record is from RefSeq and is a predicted model, not a curated record.
UGUGUGUGUGUGUGUGUGUGUAGUAGAGAUGCGCGGAUGGCCUAUUAUUUCAACCGUAACCGCAUAGCAAAACUUAUCAUCCAUCCGCACCAACGUUUUUUGACCAAUUUUCAAAACCACACCCGCCCGCCAUC